AGAGUUUGAUCAUGGCUCAGGACGAACGCUGGCGGCGUGCCUAACACAUGCAAGUCAGGGAGAAAAAGGUAGCAAUAUCUUGAGUAAACCGGCGAACGGGUGAGUAUAACGUAGACAACCUUCCUCGUGAACGGGGAUAACUCCGGGAAACCGGAGCUAAUACCCGAUGACAUCCAGGAGGAGCAUUUCUUCUGGAUCAAAGGCCCGAAAGGGCGUCACGAGAUGGGUCUGCGCCCCAUUAGAUAGUUGGCGGGGUAAUAGCCCACCAAGUCUACGAUGGGUAGCUGGUCUGAGAGGACGACCAGCCACACUGGAACUGAGACACGGUCCAGACUUCUACGGAAGGCAGCAGUGAGGAAUAUUGCUCAAUGGGCGAAAGCCUGAAGCAGCGACGCCGCGUGAAGGAUGAAAUCCGUUAGGAUGUAAACUUCUUUUAUAGGGGAAGAACGACCCGGUUUCCGGGUGUGACUGUACCUUAUGAAUAAGCACCGGCCAACUACGUGCCAGCAGCCGCGGUAAUACGUAGGGUGCGAGCGUUGUCCGGAAUUACUGGGUGUAAAGGGUCCGUAGGCGGGCCGGCAAGUCGGUGGUGAAAGUUCGCGGCUCAACCGCGAAAUUGCCAUCGAUACUGCUGGUCUUGAAUCCGAGAGAGGAUGAUGGAAUUCAUGGUGUAGCAGUGAAAUGCGUAGAGAUCAUGAAGAACACCAGUAGCGAAGGC
This 718-nucleotide ribosomal RNA is filed under the name uncultured bacterium. RNAcentral's name for it is "bacterial SSU rRNA". It matches the Rfam family "Bacterial small subunit ribosomal RNA", at positions 8 to 722 of the family's 1533-position model. The record is from RNAcentral.